Molecule: ribosomal RNA, 274 nt
Filed under: uncultured bacterium
Lineage: Bacteria
Description: partial 16S ribosomal RNA
Rfam family: Bacterial small subunit ribosomal RNA
Source: RNAcentral
AUACGGAGGGUGCAAGCGUUGUUCGGAAUCACUGGGCGUAAAGGGCGCGCAGGCGGUUUGGUAAGUCAGAUGUGAAAGCCCACGGCUCCACCGUGGAAGUGCAUUUGAAACUGUCAGACUUGAGUACUAGAGGGGAAAGUGGAAUUCCCGGUGUAGAGGUGAAAUUCGUAGAUAUCGGGAGGAAUACCGGUGGCGAAGGCGACUUUCUGGCUAGAUACUGACGCUGAGGCGCGAAAGCGUGGGGAGCAAACAGGAUUAGAAACCCUUGUAGUCC